UACAGAGGGUGCGAGCGUUAAUCGGAAUUACUGGGCGUAAAGCGUGCGUAGACGGUAAUGUAAGUCAGAUGUGAAAGCCCCGGGCUCAACCUGGGAACUGCAUUUGAUACUGAGUGGCUAGAGUUCGGGAGAGGAGAGUGGAAUUCCCAGUGUAGAGGUGAAAUUCGUAGAUAUUGGGAAGAACACCGGUGGCGAAGGCGGCUCUCUGGACCGAUACUGACGCUGAGGCGCGAAAGCGUGGGGAGCAAACAGG
Molecule: ribosomal RNA, 253 nt
Filed under: uncultured bacterium
Lineage: Bacteria
Description: partial 16S ribosomal RNA
Rfam family: Bacterial small subunit ribosomal RNA
Source: RNAcentral